RNAcentral lists this ribosomal RNA (460 nucleotides) under uncultured bacterium. RNAcentral describes it as "partial 16S ribosomal RNA". It matches the Rfam family "Bacterial small subunit ribosomal RNA", at positions 338 to 795 of the family's 1533-position model. The record is from RNAcentral.
CCUACGGGAGGCAGCAGUGAGGAAUAUUGGGCAAUGGACGAGAGUCUGAACGAGCAACGUAGCGUGAAGGAUGACUGCCCUAUGGGUUGUAAACUUCUUUUAUAUGGGAAUAAAAUGUUCCACGUGUGGGAUUUUGUAUGUACCAUAUGAAUAAGGAUCGGCUAACUCCGUGCCAGCAGCCGCGGUAAUACGGAGGAUCCGAGCGUUAUCCGGAUUUAUUGGGUUUAAAGGGUGCGUAGGUGGAUUGUUAAGUCAGUUGUGAAAGUUUGCGGCGCAACCGUAAAAUUGCAGUUGAAACUGGCAGUCUUGAGUACAGUAGAGGUGGGCGGAAUUCGUGGUGUAGCGGUGAAAUGCGUAGAUAUCACGAAGAACUCCGAUUGCGAAGGCAGUUCACUGGACUGCAACUGACACUGAGGCACGAAAGUGUGGGGAUCAAACAGGAUUAGAUACCCUGGUAGUC